Molecule: ribosomal RNA, 324 nt
Filed under: uncultured eukaryote
Lineage: Eukaryota
Description: partial 18S ribosomal RNA
Rfam family: Eukaryotic small subunit ribosomal RNA
Source: RNAcentral
CCCUUAGAUGUCCUGGGCUGCACGCGCGCUACACUGAUGUGUCCAGUAAGCACCUAACCUCUUCCGAAAGGAACGGGUAACCUUUGCAAAGCACAUCGUGAUGGGGAUAGAUUAUUGCAAUUUUUAGUCUUGAACGAGGAAUUCCUAGUAAGCACAAGUCAUCAGCUUGUGUUGAUUACGUCCCUGCCCUUUGUACACACCGCCCGUCGCUCCUACCGAUUGAAUGUUCCGGUGAGCUCUUCGGACUGCGCGGUCUGCAGUUUCUGCGUUCCGUGCGGAAAGUUGCGCAAACCUUAACAUUUAGAGGAAGGAGAAGUCGUAACA